Molecule: ribosomal RNA, 431 nt
Filed under: uncultured bacterium
Lineage: Bacteria
Description: partial 16S ribosomal RNA
Rfam family: Bacterial small subunit ribosomal RNA
Source: RNAcentral
AGCGAACGCUGGCGGCAGGCCUAACACAUGCAAGUCGAACGCCCCUUCGGGGCAUGGUCGUACGGUUGAGGAACGCGUGGUAAUGUGUGCUUUGGUAUGUGACAACUGGUGGAAACUUCCGCUCAUACCGUAUGUGUCCUACGGCGGAAAGAUUGAUCGCCAUUGUAGCAGCCCGCGUUGGAUUAGGCAGUUGGUGGGGUAAUGGCCCACCAAGCCGACGAUCGAUAGCUGGUCUGAGAGGAUGAUCAGCCACACUGGGACUGAGACACGGCGGAGACUACUACGGGAGGCAGCAGUGGGGAAUCUUGCGCAAUGGGCGAAAGCCUGACGCAGCCAUGCCGCGUGAAUGAUGAAGGUCUUAGGAUUGUAAAGUUCUUUCACAGGGGACGAUAAUGACGGUACCAGGAGAAGAAGCACCGGCUAACUUCGUG